This is a long non-coding RNA of Homo sapiens (human), 979 nucleotides long. Ensembl annotates it as hepatocellular carcinoma up-regulated long non-coding RNA. Its record names the gene HULC. The record is from Ensembl. NCBI's taxonomy places the organism in Eukaryota, Metazoa, Chordata, Mammalia, Primates, Hominidae.
AAAUGGAGUAGGUCGGUGAGCGCCGAUCUGCUGGAGAAUCUCAUUAUCCCAUCGGCGCUCUGCCUGCUCCUGGCCUCCAAGCCUCUGAAGCCCCUCGGGUUUCAGCUGCCGGCUACCCUCGAGCCCGUGGUGCCCACGAGAGAGGCGACUUUACGUCAGCGGCCCUGGGCUGAGAUUUGAGAACGCGACCAAGUGGAGAAUGUUGGAGCCAGAUUUUAAAAUCCUUGUCUUCCUUCUGCGUGCUACUUGAUCUAAAUGAGAUACGGCAAAGUCACAGAACCUGUUUUUAUGUUUUUGCCUGAUUCAUACGGGCUUCUCCGGUGAAGAUGGGCCUGAAGUAACGCUUGGGUUGCUUCUGACGUUAUAACUCAUCCUGUAGCUGCAGCAACCGUGGUCCUUGCAACCUCAUAAAAAUGUUGCCAGCAUUGUUUCGAUAGUGCUGCUUAAUUCUUGGAAGGUUCUUCGGACUUCACACAUUCCAGCAGUAGCUCUCUCAGCUCCUGUCCUGCACAGCUUUGAAGUGCUGGACAUUGACUUUAAUUCACAUGCUGGUUACCUCACAGUUAUAGGAUGGUUGCUGCAGCUCCUGGUGGUGUAACAUCAUUCCAGGCAGGAAGAAGGAUAUAGUGGAAGUCAGGCUGUGUUGGUAUCCUGACCAAGGCUUUAGGAUACUGGAAGCUUUUGCUUUCUGUCUCUUGAAACACUUGACCUUGAAUUCCACCUGCCAUGCUGUUUGGAAGCCCAAGCUGCACUGUGGAGCAACCCAUGUGAAAAGGAAUGGAGGCUCUGGCUGAACUUCUCGUUGACAGACAACACCAAAUUGCCAGCCAUGUGAGCCAGCCACCUUGGAAGUAUCAUCUCCAGCCCCAGUCUAGCUGCUGUCAUUGUAUGGGGGAGAACUAAGUUUUCCUUGUUAAGCCCUUUUCAAAUUGCUGAUUUGUGAGCCAAAUAAAUGAUUGUUUUUGCUUUAAGCCAAAAA